RNAcentral lists this ribosomal RNA (253 nucleotides) under uncultured bacterium. RNAcentral describes it as "partial 16S ribosomal RNA". It matches the Rfam family "Bacterial small subunit ribosomal RNA", at positions 524 to 776 of the family's 1533-position model. The record is from RNAcentral.
UACGAAGGGGGCUAGCGUUGUUCGGAAUCACUGGGCGUAAAGCGCACGUAGGCGGACCGUUAAGUCGGAGGUGAAAGCCUAGGGCUCAACCCCAGAACUGCCUUCGAUACUGGCGGUCUUGAGUAUGGUAGAGGUUGGUGGAACUCCGAGUGUAGAGGUGAAAUUCGUAGAUAUUCGGAAGAACACCAGUGGCGAAGGCGGCCAACUGGACCAUUACUGACGCUGAGGUGCGAAAGCGUGGGGAGCAAACAGG